CCUACGGGGGGCUGCAGUGGGGAAUAUUGCACAAUGGGCGCAAGCCUGAUGCAGCCAUGCCGCGUGUGUGAAGAAGGCCUUCGGGUUGUAAAGCACUUUCAGCGGGGAGGAAGGCGGUGAGGUUAAUAACCUCAUCGAUUGACGUUACCCGCAGAAGAAGCACCGGCUAACUCCGUGCCAGCAGCCGCGGUAAUACGGAGGGUGCAAGCGUUAAUCGGAAUUACUGGGCGUAAAGCGCACGCAGGCGGUCUGUCAAGUCGGACGUGAAAUCCCCGGGCUCAACCUGGGAACUGCAUUCGAAACUGGGAGGCUAGAGUCUUGUAGAGGGGGGUAGAAUUCCAGGUGUAGCGGUGAAAUGCGUAGAGAUCUGGAGGAAUACCGGUGGCGAAGGCGGCCCCCUGGACAAAGACUGACGCUCAGGUGCGAAAGCGUGGGGAGCAAACAGGAUUAGAUACCCCUGUAGUC
RNAcentral lists this ribosomal RNA (465 nucleotides) under uncultured Klebsiella sp. Its description in RNAcentral is "bacterial SSU rRNA". It matches the Rfam family "Bacterial small subunit ribosomal RNA", at positions 338 to 795 of the family's 1533-position model. The record is from RNAcentral. Lineage: Bacteria; Pseudomonadati; Pseudomonadota; Gammaproteobacteria; Enterobacterales; Enterobacteriaceae.